This 489-nucleotide ribosomal RNA is filed under the name uncultured bacterium. RNAcentral describes it as "bacterial SSU rRNA". It matches the Rfam family "Bacterial small subunit ribosomal RNA", at positions 29 to 507 of the family's 1533-position model. The record is from RNAcentral.
AACAAACGCUGGCGGCGUGUCUUAAGCAUGCAAGUUGAGCGGCAAGGCGGAGCAAUCCGCCCUAGAGCAGCGGACUGGUGAGUAACGCGUGGGUGAUCUGCCUCUGGGAUGGGGAUAGCCACUAGAAAUAGUGGGUAAUACCGAAUGAGGUCAUAGAGUUGCGGCUCUAUGAUGAAAGGCGCUACGGCGCCACCUGGAGAUGAGCCUGCGUCCCAUUAGCUAGUUGGUGGGGUAAAGGCCUACCAAGGCGAUGAUGGGUAGCCGGCCUGAGAGGGUGUACGGCCACACUGGGACUGAGAUACGGCCCAGACUCCUACGGGAGGCAGCAGCUAAGAAUAUUCCGCAAUGGACGGAAGUCUGACGGAGCGACGCCGCGUGGAUGACGAAGGCCGAAAGGUUGUAAAAUCCUUUUGUCGAGGAAGAAUAAGCUAGGGAGGGAAUGCCCUGGUGAUGACAUGAAUCGAUGAAUAAGCCCCGGCUAACUACGUG